Molecule: ribosomal RNA, 782 nt
Filed under: uncultured bacterium
Lineage: Bacteria
Description: bacterial SSU rRNA
Rfam family: Bacterial small subunit ribosomal RNA
Source: RNAcentral
AAGGGCUCGUAGGCGGUUUGUCGCGUCGGGAGUGAAAACCAGGUGCUUAACACCUGGCUUGCUUUCGAUACGGGCAGACUAGAGGUAUUCAGGGGAGAACGGAAUUCCUGGUGUAGCGGUGAAAUGCGCAGAUAUCAGGAGGAACACCGGUGGCGAAGGCGGUUCUCUGGGAAUGACCUGACGCUGAGGAGCGAAAGUGUGGGGAGCGAACAGGAUUAGAUACCCUGGUAGUCCACACCGUAAACGUUGGGCGCUAGGUGUGGGGUCCAUUCCACGGAUUCCGUGCCGCAGCUAACGCAUUAAGCGCCCCGCCUGGGGAGUACGGCCGCAAGGCUAAAACUCAAAGGAAUUGACGGGGGCCCGCACAAGCGGCGGAGCAUGCGGAUUAAUUCGAUGCAACGCGAAGAACCUUACCUGGGUUUGACAUACACCCUGCCGCUCCAGAGAUGGGGCUUCUUUUGGGGGUGUACAGGUGGUGCAUGGCUGUCGUCAGCUCGUGUCGUGAGAUGUUGGGUUAAGUCCCGCAACGAGCGCAACCCUCGUUCUAUGUUGCCAGCACGUAAUGGUGGGGACUCAUAGGAGACUGCCGGGGUCAACUCGGAGGAAGGUGGGGAUGACGUCAAGUCAUCAUGCCCCUUAUGUCCAGGGCUUCACGCAUGCUACAAUGGCCGGUACAAAGGGCUGCGAUCCCGUAAGGGGGAGCGAAUCCCAAAAAGCCGGUCUCAGUUCGGAUUGGGGUCUGCAAAUCGACCCCAUGAAGUCGGAGUCGCUAGUAAUCGCAG